AGGGGAGGCCGGACCCUGGGCUGUGUCCUGGCGCCCAGUGCUCCCAGGGCCUGCGCUGUUGGAUUCGCGCUCCCCCCCCCAGCCCCCU
RNAcentral lists this microRNA precursor (88 nucleotides) under Canis lupus dingo (dingo). RNAcentral describes it as "mir-8799 microRNA precursor family". It matches the Rfam family "mir-8799 microRNA precursor family". The record is from Rfam by way of RNAcentral. Lineage: Eukaryota; Metazoa; Chordata; Mammalia; Carnivora; Canidae.